This 266-nucleotide ribosomal RNA is filed under the name uncultured bacterium. Its description in RNAcentral is "partial 16S ribosomal RNA". It matches the Rfam family "Bacterial small subunit ribosomal RNA", at positions 524 to 787 of the family's 1533-position model. The record is from RNAcentral.
UACAGAGGGUGCAAGCGUUAUCCGGAAUUACUGGGUUUAAAGGGUGCGUCGGCGGUCCCAUAAGUCUGUCGUGAAAUGCAGCGGCUUAACCGUAUGAACUGCGAUGGAUACUGUGGGACUUGAAUAAGGUUGAGGCAGGCAGAAUGUGGCAUGUAGCGGUGAAAUGCUUAGAUAUGCCAUAGAACACCGAUUGCGAAGGCAGCUUGCCAAGCCUUUUAUUGACGCUGAGGCACGAAAGUGUGGGGAGCAAACAGGAUUAGAAACCC